This 866-nucleotide long non-coding RNA is filed under the name Gopherus agassizii (Agassiz's desert tortoise). RNAcentral's name for it is "lncRNA (ENSGAGG00000000087.1)". The record is from RNAcentral. Lineage: Eukaryota; Metazoa; Chordata; Testudines; Testudinidae.
UGCUGUUUCCAAGCUAUGAAUUUCAUGAUUUAUUUGUCACUAUUCUCUAUUUUUCUGCUGUACACCGUGUUUGUGGGCUAUGGCAACCAAUCCUCUUGGGCUUUCUUUUGCUUUAAUUUGCAUAAACACAGGCAUCAUAUGAAUAUUCAGUGAGUGGCUUUGCAUUAAGUAAGUGCUCUUAAUCAGCUUUUCAGUUCUGUUUUAUUGGUUGCACGCACAGUCAGUUAUUUCAUCCAGAAAAUCUGAGGGCCCUACAAAGCUAACCAGAAACCCCAGAAAAUGCCAUUGCAAGUAAACAUGUCCAUUCACCAUUUAAAGUUCAUGCAGAUGUUCAGCUUCCAAAUGGAUGUUGUGAAAAGGGAAAAUAUAUGUUUCCUGGUGAUGCAGAGCAAUUGCGCAGAUAAUCUCAAGCAUGAUAUGCUGAUAUUUACCACCACCCAUUUUCGAAAAAUACCAUGCUUAUGUUGCAGAGGAAUAAGAUAUACCUUACCACUUCAGCAAGUCUAGCAUCCUGCCACCAUCAGUAACCGAUAUUUGAAUUUCCAGAAGAUAGUGGAAAAAGCAUCACCACCACUUGUAUAAUAAUGUACCUUUUCAGUUGUGCAGUGUUGUAUAUUGGCAAGUAAAUAGUAAACAGUUUGUAAAGAGUCAUGUUUCCUGUUGUUGCCAUAAUCUGAAUAGAACAGUCUGUAUAAUCAGUGUGAUCCAUCUCCUAUUAAGACCAGCCACCCACCAGAUAAAUAUUCUGAAGUUCUAGUCAACCCAGUUAUACUACUUAGACCAUGGACAGAACUCCCAGGGGGAGUGGAAGAUGCGAGUGUGGACUGAGGGCAGUACAUGCCCUGAGUGUCACCUGUUAGAGGUCA